RNAcentral lists this non-coding RNA (161 nucleotides) under uncultured Robinsoniella sp. RNAcentral's name for it is "Lysine riboswitch". It matches the Rfam family "Lysine riboswitch aptamer". From Rfam's summary of the family: Riboswitches are metabolite binding domains within certain messenger RNAs that serve as precision sensors for their corresponding targets. Allosteric rearrangement of mRNA structure is mediated by ligand binding, and this results in modulation of gene expression. This family includes riboswitches that sense lysine in a number of genes involved in lysine metabolism, including lysC. The record is from RNAcentral. Lineage: Bacteria; Bacillati; Bacillota; Clostridia; Lachnospirales; Lachnospiraceae.
AAUGGUAGAGGAGCAGGAUUCAUCAGUAAGAUGACAUACAAUGGCAGGGCAGCCGUGUUAUCUGAAAGGGGAGACUGCCGAAGGAUAUCAAAGGCCAGAUUUGAUAUUCUGGGGCGAUGCAGAAUAUGCGGCGCACUGUCACAGAUGUGGAGCGCUAUCAU